Long non-coding RNA from Marmota monax (woodchuck), 1593 nucleotides. RefSeq lists it as uncharacterized. The record is from RefSeq and is a predicted model, not a curated record. The transcript is spliced from 2 exons. NCBI's taxonomy places the organism in Eukaryota, Metazoa, Chordata, Mammalia, Rodentia, Sciuridae.
GACUAUGACUUGAGCCAACUCCAGCAGCCUGACACAGUGGAGCCUGAUGCCAUCAAGCCUGUGGGAAUCCGGCGGCUGGAUGAGAGACCCAUCCACGCUGAGCCACAGUAUCCAGUCCGAUCUGCAGCCCCACACCCUGGGGACAUCGGGGACUUCAUUAACGAGGGCCUUAAAGCUGCUGACAAUGAUCCCACAGCUCCGCCAUAUGACUCCCUCUUAGUCUUUGACUACGAAGGUAGUGGCUCCACUGCCGGGUCCUUGAGCUCCCUUAAUUCCUCAAGUAGUGGUGGAGAGCAGGACUAUGAUUACCUGAACGACUGGGGACCACGAUUCAAGAAACUCGCUGACAUGUAUGGUGGAGGUGAUGACUGAACUUCAGGGUGAACUUGGUUUUUGGACAAGUACAAACAAUUUCAACUGAUAUUCCCAAAAAGCAUACAGAAGCUAGGCUUUAACUUUGUAGUCUACUAGCACAGUGCUUGCUGGAGGCUUUUGGCAUAGGCUGCAAACCAAUUUGGGCUCAGAGGGAAUAUCAGUGAUCCAAUACUGUUUGGAAAAACACUGAGCUCAGUUACACUUGAAUUUUACAGUACAGAAGCACUGGGAUUUUAUGUGCCUUUUUGUACCUUUUUCAGAUUGGAAUUAGUUUUAUGUUUAAGGCUUUAAUGGUACUGAUUUCUGAAACGAUAAGUAAAAGACAAAAUAUUUUGUGGUGGGAGCAGUAAGUUCAACCAUGAUAUGCUUCAACACGCUUUUGUUACAUUGCAUUUGCUUUUGUUAAAAUACAGAAUUAAACAAACAAAAAAAAAAACCGAACUCAUGGAGCGAUCGAUUUUAUUAUCUUGGGGGAUGAGACCAUGAGAUUGGAAAAUGUACAUUACUUCUAGUUUUAGACUUUAGAAUUUUUUUUUCACUAAAAUCUUAAAAACUUACGCAGCUGGUUGCAAAUAAAGGGAGUUUUCAUAUCACCAAUUUGUAGCAAAAUUGAAUUUUUUCAUAAACUAGAAUGUUAGACACAUUUUGGUCUUAAUCCAUGUACACUUUUUUUAUUUACUGUAUUUUUUCCACUUCACUGUAAAAAAAUGGUAUGUGUACAUAAUGUUUUAUUGGCAUAGUCUAUGGAGAAGUGCAGAAACUUCAGAACAUGUGUAUGUAUUAUUUGGACAAUGAAUUCAGGUUUUUUGCAUGUUUAUAUCUUUCGUUAUGGAUAAAGUAUUUACAAACAAAGUGACAUUUGAUUCAAUUGUUGAGCUGUAGUUAGAAUACUCAAUUUUUAAUUUUUUAAUUUUUUUUUUUAUUUUUUAUUUUCUUUUUUUGUUUUGGGGAGGGAGCAAAGUUCUUAGCACAAAUGUUUUACAUAAUUUGUACCAAAAAAAUUAAAAAAAAGGAAAGAAAAAGAAAAGAAAGGGGUGGCCUGACACUGGUAGCACUACUAAGGGUGUGUUUUUAAAAAAAAAAAAUGAAAACACAAAAAAAGCUUUUAAAACUGGAGAGACUUCUGACAACAGCUUUGCCUCUGUAUUGUGUACCAGAAUAUAAAUGAUACACCUCUGACCCCCAGCGUUCUGAAUAAAAUGCUAAUUUUGGAUCUGG